Molecule: antisense RNA, 73 nt
Filed under: Eoetvoesiella caeni
Lineage: Bacteria; Pseudomonadati; Pseudomonadota; Betaproteobacteria; Burkholderiales; Alcaligenaceae
Description: Pusillimonas sp. PB3-7B Plasmid transferred anti-sense RNA
Rfam family: Plasmid transferred anti-sense RNA
Source: Rfam by way of RNAcentral
UUGUCAUGAUUCACCUCUCAGACAGGUGUUGAUUGAAAGUGCCGGGCGGGUUACCGGCCCGCCCGGUGCGCCU